ACGGGCUCUUCGGAGCUAGUGGCGGACGGGUGAGUAACGCGUGAGAAUCUGGCUCCAGGUUCGGGACAACAGUUGGAAACGGCUGCUAAUACCGGAUGUGCCCUUGGGUGAAAGAUUUAUCACCUGAAGAUGAGCUCGCGUCUGAUUAGCUAGUAGGUGUGGUAAGAGCGCACCUAGGCGACGAUCAGUAGCUGGUCUGAGAGGAUGACCAGCCACACUGGGACUGAGACACGGCCCAGACUCCUACGGGAGGCAGCAGUGGGGAAUUUUCCGCAAUGGGCGAAAGCCUGACGGAGCAAUACCGCGUGAGGGAGGAAGGCUCUUGGGUUGUAAACCUCUUUUCUCAGGGAAGAAGUUCUGACGGUACCUGAGGAAUCAGCAUCGGCUAACUCCGUGCCAGCAGCCGCGGUAAUACGGAGGAUGCAAGCGUUAUCCGGAAUGAUUGGGCGUAAAGCGUCCGCAGGUGGCAAUGUAAGUCUGCUGUCAAAGCGUCUGGCUCAACCAGAUAAAGGCAGUGGAAACUACAUAGCUAGAGUAAGGUAGGGGUAGAGGGAAUUCCUGGUGUAGCGGUGAAAUGCGUAGAGAUCAGGAAGAACACCGGUGGCGAAAGCGCUCUGCUGGACCUUAACUGACACUGAGGGACGAAAGCUAGGGGAGCGAAUGGGAUUAGAUACCCCAGUAGUCCUAGCCGUAAACGAUGGAUACUAG
RNAcentral lists this ribosomal RNA (708 nucleotides) under uncultured cyanobacterium. RNAcentral's name for it is "bacterial SSU rRNA". It matches the Rfam family "Bacterial small subunit ribosomal RNA", at positions 66 to 819 of the family's 1533-position model. Lineage: Bacteria; Bacillati; Cyanobacteriota. The record is from RNAcentral.